Molecule: transfer RNA, 65 nt
Filed under: Leptodora kindtii
Lineage: Eukaryota; Metazoa; Arthropoda; Branchiopoda; Diplostraca; Leptodoridae
Description: tRNA-Ser
Source: RNAcentral
GAGAUAAAAGUAAGAGAAGAGCUGCUAACUCCUCCUCUAAGCGGUUAAAUUCCGUUUGUAUCUUU